Molecule: transfer RNA, 74 nt
Filed under: Candidatus Blochmanniella pennsylvanica
Lineage: Bacteria; Pseudomonadati; Pseudomonadota; Gammaproteobacteria; Enterobacterales; Enterobacteriaceae
Also listed under: 3 other names
Description: Candidatus Blochmannia pennsylvanicus tRNA-Val
Rfam family: tRNA
About the family: Transfer RNA (tRNA) molecules are approximately 80 nucleotides in length. Their secondary structure includes four short double-helical elements and three loops (D, anti-codon, and T loops).
Source: RNAcentral
GCGUUCUUAGCUCAGUCGGUUAGAGCACUACCUUGACAUGGUAGAGGUCGAUGGUUCAAGUCCAUUAGAACGCA